UUGCACAUGGGUAGUACAUGGUGACAUAUCAAUUUCUGCCUACCCUGUUUGUCUUUAAUUUGUGCAUUGUAGAAUCACAGUCUGGUUUGGCUUGGAGUAUGAGCAACGUAAGCUGUGAGCCUCAGUUUGUGUCAGGAGGAGACAGAAUCACUCAUAUUUUAUCUUUGAUGUCUUAACUCUUGUCCACCUAAAUUCUUUCCACCUAAAUUCUUCAUGAGAUGCAAAAGUUUUGAAUGAAUUGUCAGGAGAAAUGAAAAAUUAAGUGAGAUUUUUUAUCAUGUUUGCUAGGUUUGCUUGCUUAUCCAAGACUUUUGACUGCAAAAUAUGAAGCUGCAAAUUAAAAACCAGACACAGAUUGCUAAUGGAACACUUCACCAUCUUUUGAUACCUACCUCUGAAGGAUCUGUGGACAAAAGGACAGUUUAAUUUGGCAUCUGCUAAUUUCAUGGCAGCCAAGAAAGCAGUUACUGAAGAGUUGUUCAUAGAGAGUAUUGGUAUAAAAAAUAUCAGGGAAAUUCCAAUUAUUGGAGGAGUUCUGUGUGCCAGUGUACAUAACACUGAUGGAUAUAGGCACCUUGAUCAGCAAGCACCAGAAGAAGUUGCAGACAGCUGAGGGAGCCUCAGUCGGCAGCCCUGGUCCUCAGGGAGGAUUUCAUUCCCUCCAGGUUCUGCUGCAGGGACAGCACAGCAGGGAACACAUCAUCAAGAGUUGCAGGAGGUUUCUGGAGAGCUCUGAUAACAGCUUCCAAAUGCAGAUGUCUGAGGAGCUGCCAACAGGGGACACUGCUGAACCUGACAUGUGGGAACAAGAUGUUGUUUAUUUCUAAUGUUGUUUAUUUCUACAUACAGCAUGGGCUGCAGUAAGACACAAGAAACACGGCUGGGCAUAGCCCCAAUUUCCUUAACCAGUGCAGUAAUGCCAUUGUGCUUUGGGCUUGGAAAUGCUGUUCCAUUGGAUUAAAGUUUACCUUACUCUCCCUCCAUACUGUCAGAAAUGUAGAAAUCUGCUUUAAGUCUUUGAGUCUUGUAGUGUCCUAAGCUUGCUUUGAGAUUUGAGAAUGGCAGCAGAGUGAAUUUUUAUAAUUAGGUAUAAAGAGUGGAGAAAUAUUAAUAAAGAAAUUACCUGCAAAGGAAGGAAAAACAGUUCUAAUGUUUGGCUUCCUAUUAAAGGCUGACUUUCACUGAUUAUUCUGGGCAGUUUCUGCUUUCUCCCCAGCUCUGCCCAAAGCUCUCUGCCUCUUGUAUCUUUGUCUCUGAGUUUGCUUCAUGUCAGUCUAAGUCAAAUGGUCUAAUUAAAACCAAGACUUAUUAACAAUAAAGGGUGUGAAGCAUUGAGAUUGAAACAAAAAAUGGGCGCCAGUCUUUUAUUUUAUUUUUUCUUCCAGGAAAGAAAUUGGUAACAGACCAUUCUGGACUGGUUUAACAAACCAGAUAUGACUUAGGCAUGCAGUGAAACUGUUUCUGUAGAUACUUUUCUGUAUUUCUUUAUUUUACUGCCAUGGGCAUUUGCAUUUUUGUUGCUUGGAAGUGUUAUGUUGCUUAGUGCUCAAAGUCAUAUUCUGUGAUGACAUAGUCAGGUAGCGUGGAAAUUAUCAUGAUUUGACUUCAAUAUUAAAGAACUGGAACAAAAAGGCUGUGAUUAUGUUUUAUAUUUCCUUCUCUGUGAUGAAAAAUGGAGCUCAAACUGUCUAAAUUGGCAUUUUAUCGCUGUUUUUCUUAAAAUAUCAGUGACUUCUAACACUUGAAAAGCAUUCUUCCAGGGUAUGGUAGGCGUGAAACACUUCUUUGAUAGAUAUGAUUACUUGAGAUAUGAAUGCAGAAACAUUUCUGUUCAUCUUAUUGAAUAUGCUUUGAAUUUUGUAACAAUUUAGAAAGCUGAAUUUACAUACAGGAAAGAAAAAAUGGUUAGUGACUACUUUGUCUUGUGUUUGGUGGUACAAUAGUUUUAGAAUUUUUUUUCCUGGCUGUGUGUACUACUUAGAGCAUUUCUUCAUAGUUGCAUAAAAUACCAUUUUAAUCUUAUUAAAAAAAUUAGAAAAUCAAACACUUAAGACCAGAACAAAAAUAUAAAAUUUCCCCUCAAGAUACUUAAAAUAAAAAUAUUUCUGAUUUAUGUGAAGAAGAUGGCUUAUUUCACUUUUUGAAUGUGUUGUGCAUAUCACCAACAAUCUUCUUUCAUUUGCCAAAGCAGGAAAUGUGUUACAGUAUUUUCUGCAACUGAUUAUGCAGUUGUGUAUGGUACUGAGUUUAUUUCCAUCAGAUACUUCAAAGCCUUACUUUUUAGGUCAGGAAAGUAUGCUUCACUUAAAGCUUUGAAGUUUGAAAUAAGCAAAAUGAACAUAAUUUGACUAAAAUUAAUUACUAAUGCAAAGCAGAACUUCUGAUGGCGAGAACAUUGACAAAAGCUGAAAUUGAAUCUGAGAAUUCACGUUCAUCCUUUACCCAAGCAAAGGCUCUGAAAAUCAAUUCCAGAGGUGUAAAGCUUCUGGAGACAUGCUUGCUCCUUGGGCACGUGUGGAUGUACAAUAACUAAUUUUAAUACUGUUUUAUUAGGCUGAAAUUUGGUUUUAACAUGCAAGGAGAAAAUAUUUUGCCAACAAUUUCUGCAGUAAGGACAGGGCAUUGUUUGGCCCUUUGAGUGGACUGGCAGUUUGGUACUUGGGCAGCCAAGUUUUUUUUUUGACAUCCUGUUCGUGAUGUGACUGAUCUUCUGCAUGUUGUUUGAACCAGACAGUUUCCAUGUAAUCCCACAGAAGAAGGAACCUGCCCUGUUUCAGGGUUUUUGGGAGCUGCUGAUGGCUCACUGUUCAGGUGAAGGUUCAUGGGUUGGGGUGUGCUCAGCCCUGUUCAUGCAGCCUGCCCACACUGACCAAAAUGCAUCCCAGAACUUCUCAGGGUCAUAAGGGUGCUGUCAUGUAAUAUAAAAUAUAUAUAAUAUAUAUAUAUAAUAUAAUAUAUAUAAAAUAAAAUAUAUUUUUUUUCCUGUGGGCAGCAGGAUGCAUCUGUCAGGGAUUUGGUGAUUCCCUGCUUUAUUUGGAGGUCAGUCUGUAGCAGCCUGACUGAACCAGCUGCUGAACAAGCUGUGGGAAAUGGGGAAGAGAGGUCAGGGUCUUACUGUUAAGAGGACACUCUUCCCUCCUCUCCUCUUUUACUUUUGAGGACUAGUCCUCACAAAACCAUACCUGCAGACACCCAGAAGGAUCAUCCAGGCAGUGGCUGCUGGGAUCUGCCUCGUAGAGCACGAGGAUGGGGGCUCAGAUCCUGGUUUUGUGAGAUAAGGAGAAUAAGAAUGACAGGAAGAGCUCAAGUGUGACCCCGUGCAUGUUCCUGGUAGUUUACAAUGGAGCUUAGUGGGUAGGAGAGUGUAUUUACAGAAUAGCUGUCAAAAUCCCUGAGUGUAAGCAAGCUGUAAAUAAGUCUAUAAAGUGUAAUCGUUACUGGAGACUUUAAAUCUGCAAUGAGUGAAGGACUUGCUUCAAGUUCAUUCUUGUGUCUGCUUCCUUGCAUGAGAAGUAAACAGAAGGAUAAAUCAGAAAGCUGAGUUUGUACAUAUUUGGGCACAUUGGAAGAGAUAAAAGCACAUUGGAGGAGAAUUGUGUAGUUUCAUUUGUGUUUCCUGGAGCUAGUGACCCGACUGAGCCCUGCAGUGGAGGAACAUCACACCACGCUCCAUCCUGCCCAGGAGAGGGCAGAGGUAAAGCCUGGGAUCAAUCAGUUUGCAAUCAGACUGAUUAUAGAAGGACAAGGAGGAGUACAAGAUCAAGCCAAAAGAACACAGUAGGGCAGGCAUUCAGAAACCCUUGAAGUAAAAGGGUUUCUUGCAGUAGACAGCAAACAGGAACAUUCAGGAGAACUGGUAAAGGAGUCAUUACAUUUUGUUAAGAAUUCAAUCAGGAUUUUCAGUCCCACUUCCACCCUGAGUACAUUUACUGUCCUAACCAUUUCAUCAGCAAUUCUGUGAAAUAUCCAAGAUAAAACUGAAAUGUUUAUAAAACUUUGUGGUUUUUAUGUGCAUAUUGAUAUGGUUUUGUUUAAAGGGAAAGACUCAUGAAUGGAUGCUGUUCUGUUUUUUUAAUCUAAUCUAUAUGGUUUUGUAAUCUAAAUUUCAAAAUUGUGGAAGAGAUGGGUGCUGUCUUCUGAAAUCCUCUUCUGUUUCUGUGACAUUUGUUAAAGCACAGCAAAAUUUUACUGUUUGCUGUUAGGGUCACUGUGGAAAGAUUUAGAAGGUGGGCUUUAAUGAAAGAAAUAAAUAACACAAAAAAAGCCUCGUCAGCAUCCAGCCACUUUAGAACUGAUGGGCACACUCCUGAUGUUCCUCUUUCCCAGCUGAGAGAUUCCACCAGUGAGACCAGAAAGCAAGCACUGAGUCAAAAAUAAAGAGGGAUGUUGAAGUAUCAUUAUAUGUUUCCUAAUCAAUAUUGUCAUUGCAGUUUAGUAUAUCUUUUAGUGGAAAGGGACAUUGUUUUAAAGGUGGAAGAGGUAAAUCCUCAUGAAUAUUUCAUAUAUUUAUUCAUGAAUUAAUUUUGAGGUAGUGGUAGUGAAUUAAAUGUUUAAACCUACCCCCAGUAAUGGUGGCAUUUUAAUUUUAAUGUGAAAAAACCUUAGUAGAGCUAUAUAUUUUUAGAUUCAAUUACCUUGGAAAGUUGGCAGUUCAGUGAGUGAGCGGGUUUUGGGAAGGUUCUCCCACUUCAGUGAGCAAAUCGGGGAGAGUGAGGGAGUUUGAUUCAUGACUUGACUUUGGGGUCAAAUCCAGUAGGCUUAUUUCUUUAGUUAAAUCAUUCACUUUCCCAGGUUAAUUUUAACAUUCUGGGUAGGCUGCUCAGGUUGAGGCUGAAACUGUUCUUUUUAUAAUUGGUUUCUGCAGGAUCUUGCUACUUUGAACUGUCCUGUAUUACACAAAAAUGUCAUACCUUCCUACUCUGCCUAAAAGUGCUCCCUGCUGCAGUCCCUUGUGUCUGACUUUGUAUUUUCUUCUUAAAAAGCAGAAAUGUGGCUUAUUUGGCUGUAUCAUGCAGAGGAUAUUUUAUAGGUGUUUAUUUGAUAGAAAUUUCUGUUCAUUUCUGAGGUAUUAUUGAAAUAGAACUCCUUUGGUAAAAGGAGAACUUAAUAUUGUUUCUCAUUUAAAUUGUGUAUGAAUAAAUGAUUACAAAUUGACA
Long non-coding RNA from Oenanthe melanoleuca, 5156 nucleotides. RefSeq lists it as uncharacterized. The record is from RefSeq and is a predicted model, not a curated record. Lineage: Eukaryota; Metazoa; Chordata; Aves; Passeriformes; Muscicapidae. The transcript is spliced from 2 exons.